GACGAACGCUGGCGGCGUGCUUAACACAUGCAAGUCGAACGGUAAGGCCCUUCGGGGUACACGAGUGGCGAACGGGUGAGUAACACGUGGGUGAUCUGCCCUGCACUUCGGGAUAAGCCUGGGAAACUGGGUCUAAUACCGGAUAGGACCCUGGGAUGCAUGUCCUGGGGUGGAAAGCUUUUGCGGUGUGGGAUGGGCCCGCGGCCUAUCAGCUUGUUGGUGGGGUGAUGGCCUACCAAGGCGACGACGGGUAGCCGGCCUGGGAGGGUGACCGGCCACACUGGGACUGAGAUACGGCCCAGACUCCUACGGGAGGCAGCAGUGGGGAAUAUUGCACAAUGGGCGCAAGCCUGAUGCAACGACGCCGCGUGAGGGAUGACGGCCUUCGGGUUGUAAACCUCUUUCAGCACCGACGAAGCGCAAGUGACGGUAGGUGCAGAAGAAGGACCGGCCAACUACGUGCCAGCAGCCGCAGUAA
Molecule: ribosomal RNA, 478 nt
Filed under: uncultured bacterium
Lineage: Bacteria
Description: partial 16S ribosomal RNA
Rfam family: Bacterial small subunit ribosomal RNA
Source: RNAcentral